This is a small nucleolar RNA of Apteryx owenii (little spotted kiwi), 138 nucleotides long. Lineage: Eukaryota; Metazoa; Chordata; Aves; Apterygiformes; Apterygidae. The record is from Ensembl.
CGCAGCCCCGUCAAAUUCGGUCGCCGCCUCCGCCGUGGCGGCGACCGGCCAGCCGGCUGCCACAGCAACUUCCGUAGUCCAUGGGCCCCGCGUCCCUUCCCGUGGGACCCCGGGGAUAAAAUCGUGCCACGGACACUC